GACGUAGGGCGCAAGCGUUGUCCGGAUUUAUUGGGCGUAAAGAGCUCGUAGGCGGCCUGUCGCGUCGACCGUGAAAACCCGCAGCUCAACUGCGGGCUUGCGGUCGAUACGGGCAGGCUGGAGUUCGGUAGGGGAGACUGGAAUUCCUGGUGUAGCGGUGAAAUGCGCAGAUAUCAGGAGGAACACCAGUGGCGAAGGCGGGUCUCUGGGCCGAUACUGACGCUGAGGAGCGAAAGCAUGGGUAGCGAACAGG
RNAcentral lists this ribosomal RNA (253 nucleotides) under uncultured bacterium. RNAcentral's name for it is "partial 16S ribosomal RNA". It matches the Rfam family "Bacterial small subunit ribosomal RNA", at positions 524 to 776 of the family's 1533-position model. The record is from RNAcentral.